UCCGUAGGCGGUGUGGUAAGUCGAUAGUGAAAUCUCUGGGCUUAACCCAGAGGCUGCUAACGAAACUACCAUGCUCGAGUGUGAGAGAGGCGAGUGGAAUUACGGGUGUAGCGGUGAAAUGCGUAGAUAUCCGUAGGAACAUCCGAGGCGAAAGCGGCUCGCUGGAUCACAACUGACGCUGAGGGACGAAAGCUAGGGGAGCAAACAGGAUUAGAUACCCUGGUAGUCCUAGCCCUAAACCAUCAGGACUUGGGGUUUGCCCUGUACGGGGCAAGUCCCGUAGCUAACGCGUUAAGUCCUGCGCCUGGGGAGUACGGUCGCAAGGCUGAA
This 330-nucleotide ribosomal RNA is filed under the name uncultured bacterium. RNAcentral's name for it is "bacterial SSU rRNA". It matches the Rfam family "Bacterial small subunit ribosomal RNA", at positions 568 to 898 of the family's 1533-position model. The record is from RNAcentral.